Molecule: ribosomal RNA, 253 nt
Filed under: uncultured bacterium
Lineage: Bacteria
Description: partial 16S ribosomal RNA
Rfam family: Bacterial small subunit ribosomal RNA
Source: RNAcentral
UACGGAGGAUCCGAGCGUUAUCCGGAUUUAUUGGGUUUAAAGGGUGCGUAGGCGGAUGCUUAAGUCAGUUGUGAAAGUUUGCGGCUCAACCGUAAAAUUGCAGUUGAUACUGGCAGCCUUGAGUACAGUUGAGGUAGGCGGAAUUCGUGGUGUAGCGGUGAAAUGCUUAGAUAUCACGAAGAACUCCGAUUGCGAAGGCAGCCUGCUGGACUGUAACUGACGCUGAUGCUCGAAAGCGUGGGGAGCAAACAGG